This 386-nucleotide unclassified non-coding RNA is filed under the name soil metagenome. RNAcentral's name for it is "partial contains 5.8S ribosomal RNA, internal transcribed spacer 2, and large subunit ribosomal RNA". The stretch from base 1 to 120 matches the Rfam family "5.8S ribosomal RNA", at positions 35 to 154 of the family's 154-position model. The record is from RNAcentral.
GAUGAAGAACGCAGCGAAAUGCGAUAAGUAAUGUGAAUUGCAGAAUUCAGUGAAUCAUCGAAUCUUUGAACGCACCUUGCGCUCCUUGGUAUUCCGAGGAGCAUGCCUGUUUGAGUGUCAUGAAAUUCUCAACCUUUUCAGCUUUCUUUGUUGAUCAGGCUUGGAUGUGGGAGUAUGCGGGCUUCUCAGAAGUCGGCUCUCCUGAAAUGCAUUAGCGGGACCUUUGUUGCCUGGCUUUGGUGUGAUAAUUAUCUACGCCAUUGUAGUCAAGCAGCUUAAAAUGAGGUUUCAGCUUCUAACCGUCUCCCCUGAGACAACUUUUUGACAAUUUGACCUCAAAUCAGGUAGGACUACCCGCUGAACUUAAGCAUAUCAAUAGCGGAGGA